This 465-nucleotide ribosomal RNA is filed under the name uncultured bacterium. RNAcentral's name for it is "partial 16S ribosomal RNA". It matches the Rfam family "Bacterial small subunit ribosomal RNA", at positions 338 to 795 of the family's 1533-position model. The record is from RNAcentral.
CCUACGGGAGGCAGCAGUAGGGAAUCUUUCACAAUGGGCGAAAGCCUGAUGGAGCAACGCCGCGUGGGUGAAGAAGGUCUUCGGAUCGUAAAACCCUGUUGUUAGAGAAGAAAGUGCGGGAGAGUAACUGUGCACGUAUCGACGGUAUCUAACCAGAAAGCCACGGCUAACUACGGGCCAGCAGCCGCGGUAAUACGUAGGUGGCAAGCGUUAUCCGGAUUUAUUGGGCGUACAGGGAACGCAGGCGGUCUUGUAAGUCUGAUGUGAAAGCCUUCGGCUUAACCGGAGUAGUGCAUUGGAAACUGGGAGCCUUGAUUGCAGAAGCGGAGAGUGGAACUCCAUGUGUAGCGGUGAAAUGCGUCGAUAUAUGGAAGAACACCAGUGGCGAAAGCGGCUCUCUGGUCUGUACCUGACGCUGAGGUUCGAAAGCGUGGGUAGCAAACAGGAUUAGAUACCCGUGUAGUC